RNAcentral lists this long non-coding RNA (750 nucleotides) under Fukomys damarensis (Damara mole-rat). RNAcentral's name for it is "lncRNA (ENSFDAG00000027145.1)". The record is from RNAcentral. Lineage: Eukaryota; Metazoa; Chordata; Mammalia; Rodentia; Bathyergidae.
GCCUACGUGUGCGCGUGCGCGCUGCCUCCCACCGGGCGGCCACCUGGGGGGGCACCCAGCGAUUGUGUGUGAGCGUCGCUGCGGGGCACCGAGCCCUCCGGGGACACCUCACCCUCUGACCUGGCUGUGCCCUGCUGGCCUCUCCCACCAACCGAGCUUGGAGUUAAGCCGCCUGCAGCUUGGCUCCUGGCUCCGCUGGGCCCGCAAGCCCCCCUCCCGCGCUCAGCGGGUAAGACGGCGGGGGACGUCCUCUCUGUGAGGACCGCCUGCCCACGCGCCUGCUGGACGCCGUGUCUCCGAUCCUUCCCUUGUCUCGGCCGUACCUGCAUAGCAGGGGACUACGCCGGGAGCGUCCAGCGUACCCUCCACGCGACUGUGGCCGCUGCAGGUGGCUUCAGUCACGCGGGAAGGGCUGGGGGCCCGGGCAGCCACCUGUGCCCACAAGAAGCGGCUUUGGAGUGGGGCUGUAAUCACAGUGGUACCUCCUCUUCCCGCGCUCCGCUCCGUGCAGCCUGGGCUCUGUGCUGUCCCCAGCUGAGACCCUGUCGGGCCAUUUCUGUGCAUCCAUCCAGCCGGGUGCUCGGCCCUGCUCUGGAUUUCAUGGGGGCCCUCAGCCGUGAACACUGUCUGUGGGGAGAAUCGUCCCACCCCUCUUCCUGGAAUCCAGUAAGCCUCUUCGCGCCUCCCUCACCAGGGCUGGUGAGACUGCACAUCACGGGGGCCUCGGAGGGUGCCCCAGCCCUUCUGUAG